ACGUGAGGGGAUUUUCAUGACGACAGCUAAAAUCACAUCCAUGAUGCUAACAUGACCCUCUCACCUAAUUUCUGAUCACUGUGGCAGACCGCAGCAAUGAUAAAUCUCUUUGGCCAGAGGUUAGUAAGAAACAUUACAGCCCAGGAAAAAUAGCUUUUAACUGUGGUCUCCGAAACAGCUGAUCUGUUUCAGCUUAACUUUUCCCACAAAAACUGAACAGAAGUAGACACAGGCAUGGAAAUAUAUAAUCCAGAUGACUGAACUUCAGCAACAGUAUAGGCGGCGCAGAACAGGGACAUGCAAUAUAAUAUGAAUAUGGGGCAAUGUUUUCAUAAGCUUCACUGUUAACAACAUCUUUAAAUUCACAGUCAACCAGACUGCAGCCAGCCACAGGUGAUGUUCAUGCCAUCUCUCUCACUCCACAAUGAGCAGCGUUGCACUCAUCAGUAUGGCAUUUAGACUUUUUGCUCUACUAGAGAAUUACAACAGGACUAGUUUCUCUCCUGGGCCCACGAGGAUCCCUGCAUUGCCGUUCACACUAACCUUCAACCAUUACCUCUGCUUAGCAAAGGGGCAAACAGAGGGAAUGGAGGAGGCUGGACGAGGGAGUAGGGAGGGCAGAUGGAGAAAAGGCAUUUGCCACUCCUCUGGCCUUCAACAGCUUGCACUAACACAGUUCAUCACUGUGCAAUGCUGUGUUGUCUACAGAGAAAAGACUUAGUGCAUCACUUUCAAAGAUGGAGGAGGAGAAGACAGCUAUGUCUUCUUUUCUUAGUUUAUCCCAUUGAAAAUAUUUUCAUGCUUAAAAAAAAAAAAAAAUCGGGAAGAGGCUUAACUGCAAGUCUGUCUCUGGCAAAGUUAUUAGGAUUCACCUUUGAGAUGCAGAUGAAACACUUGCAAUGCAGCCUGAAAGAAGGACAGCCUUAGCAAAACAUGAUAUGCUCAGCACAAAACAAGAUUCUGGAGUUGGACUAAAAUGUCACACCUUGCAGCCACAAGUCAUGAGAAAAGGAAAAGAUGGAAAAAAUAUCUCACAUUUGGUGAAAAAUAAAUAAAUAAAUAAAUAAGUGUAGGUACAAGAAAAUAAGUUAUGAAAUAGUAAAAUAUUCCUUCUUAUGAAAAAAAAAAAAAAAAAAAAAAAAAAAAUGUUCAGGAAGCCCUCGUAUCUGCAUGAAUCAUUUUAUACAUUGAUUCCUAAAAUAUGCCAUGGAGUGCCUUUCAUCUCAGAGGAUCCUAAAAUGCUCUUCAAGCUGUAAGUAUUGAGGAAUGACUUCACUCCAGGCUGGAGAGCCACCUGCUCUGGGCUGUAAUUCAGCAGCAAUGCACAGCAGAAAUAGACAGAGUUGGGCAGAGGCUCUUAUUAGAUAUAAAUCUUCAGAGCAGAACCCAACCGCUACCUGCCUGGUAUUAGAAAGAAACAUUUUCAAUGAUCAGUUUAUUCCAUAAUUACCUUAUUUUUUAUUUUUUUUAUUUUUUGUAUUUUGCUCUGAUAAUUCUGGCACUGCUAUCAGCAGAAAACGAAGGUCCAACUCUUUGCAGGUGUAAGUCAGAGCAGCUCCUAUGGAGCCAGUUGAGCUGCACGUGUUAACAUCAAAUGAGAAUGUACUCCAAUUACUGAAUUACUGAGCCAUUAGCAAGUUCUCCGUUCCUGUGAGUGAACAUUUUACCCAGCUGAUAUUUCAGGGGCCCUGAGAGAGUCAGAAUGGAUUUACUCAAUUAGAAUUUGGACAACAUGUCACACUUAAUGAACCUAUUUUAGGCAAAGUGCCAAGACGCAAUCUUUAUUGACCACAGGUGGCCAUGGCCUCGGCCUUGCAGCUCAUCCAAACAUCGAGUGCUUCUGUGUUCCAGCUAACAUCCUUUCCUCAAAGACGAUCAAGGACAGAGCACAAUUUCGUGAACCACUAUAACCACUUCCUGCAGCUCUUCAUUCUUACUCGCACUUCUCCCACCCAAUGACUAGUCUAAACCCAUACUGCUUACUGAAGCUUGCUGGAUAUACCGUGUUAAAAACAGAACAAAAUAUGUAGUUUUAGAUUUCAUUUCACACCAGAUCUAGGUCAAGUCUGACGAGAUGGUUUGAGCUUACAGAUGCAACAGCUCACUGACACCAUGAAGGGGGUAGUCCUGCUCCACUCACUAGGUUAGGGUGCUACUUUGUAAAAUAAAUAAAUAAAUUCUUAGUGUAGAUCCCAAAACUGGCUUACUAUGGGGUUAGAGUGCUAGUGCUUUGCUCAGCACAGAAGCUGAAAAGAGACAAGGACUUCUGAGCAUUCUUUUGCCCCUGCGCAUCAAUAACAGGUCAUGAAUUGCUCCCCCAACAGAUCAUUCUUAUUGCACAUCACUUCCAGUUUGUGAAGCAAGGCAGCCUACAAACUGCCAGGUAGUUCCGUUUCUGGAAAAAAAAAAAAAAAAAGUCACAAGCUGAACACCUCCAGUGUCACAGCAGUUGUACAAAGGAAAAACUUUGUGCAAGUCCCAAGGGGAGAGUCAAGUUGUGCUAGCCAUCAGGUUAUGCAGCUACCACCUCUUCCCUGGUGUUUCCACUCCUUUCCCCAGAACUAAAAAUGAAAUGCUGGCAUUUGCAGUAAUGUGACUUGCGGCUUCCUUCCCCACUCAAGGCAUUGCUCCUGCCUGUGCACUACACCCCCUGCCCUCCACAGUGUGCUGAUGUGUGGCUGCACUUCAACUAGGUCACCCAAAAAAUCUGGGUUAAAAAUUCCCCCCACAUAUCAAGAAGAGCUAUUUUUUAACUCAGAUCAUAGCAGGGUUUUUUUCUUUUUUUCUUUUAAAU
Molecule: long non-coding RNA, 2794 nt
Organism: Oxyura jamaicensis (ruddy duck)
Lineage: Eukaryota; Metazoa; Chordata; Aves; Anseriformes; Anatidae
Exons: 2
Source: RefSeq, a predicted model, not a curated record